AACUACCCAUGCCGCGUGUGUGAUGAAGGUCUUAGGAUCGUAAAGCACUUUCGCCAGGGAUGAUAAUGACAGUACCUGGUAAAGAAACCCCGGCUAACUCCGUGCCAGCAGCCGCGGUAAUACGGAGGGGGUUAGCGUUGUUCGGAAUUACUGGGCGUAAAGCGUACGUAGGCGGAUCAGAAAGUUGGGGGUGAAAUCCCGGGGCUCAACCCCGGAACUGCCUCCAAAACUCCUGGUCUUGAGUUCGAGAGAGGUGAGUGGAAUUCCAAGUGUAGAGGUGAAAUUCGUAGAUAUUUGGAGGAACACCAGUGGCGAAGGCGGCUCACUGGCUCGAUACUGACGCUGAGGUACGAAAGUGUGGGGAGCAAACAGGAUUAGAUACCCUGGUAGUCCACACCGUAAACGAUGAAUGCCAGUCGUCGGGCAGUAUACUG
RNAcentral lists this ribosomal RNA (434 nucleotides) under uncultured Paracoccaceae bacterium. RNAcentral describes it as "bacterial SSU rRNA". It matches the Rfam family "Bacterial small subunit ribosomal RNA", at positions 386 to 838 of the family's 1533-position model. Lineage: Bacteria; Pseudomonadati; Pseudomonadota; Alphaproteobacteria; Rhodobacterales; Paracoccaceae. The record is from RNAcentral.